CCUCACUACUGCCCUCCCCAAGUCACUGACCGCAGUGGGAGGCCCCACAGAGAGCUGGUCAACAGCAGGGUCAAGGUCCAGGCAGGGGGAGCUCAGAGGCAUCGGGCAGCUGAGCUGUGCCCCACACAGCACCAUGAAGCUGGGGCUGCUCUGUGCCCUCGCCAUGGCCCUCCUGGCCAUGGCCAUGGCUGACCUCAAAGACUCCAAGAAGGGAAAAAUGCUCACAUGGAACAGAGAGGCAGGGACGCGCGGCGGGGGCCGGCGCCGACCACACCAGCUGUGCUCAGGGUGUUUCUCUGUGCUGAGUGAGGAGCGCACCAGGAGGGAAACUGAGAAACCUGCACAGCAACGCCGCAGUCACAGAGCCCAGGCAGGACAGGAAAGGAGGAGCAGCGGUGGCCAAGCACAGCCCUGCGCCAUGAUGGAGCUGGGGGUCCCACCACCCCCUGACUGCACAGCAGCCCUGAGGGGAGCCAGGGGGUCCUGCUGUGCCUCCAGCAUGAUGGGGCUGCCCAGCCGCCCCAGAGUGCUCCUGGGGGGCAGCACCCCCACCUGCCACACGAAGCUGCCAAAUAAAGCCACCAAACCAGCCUGA
RNAcentral lists this long non-coding RNA (595 nucleotides) under Gallus gallus (chicken). Its description in RNAcentral is "lncRNA (ENSGALG00010027409.1)". Lineage: Eukaryota; Metazoa; Chordata; Aves; Galliformes; Phasianidae. The record is from RNAcentral.